GAUUCCCUUAGUAACGGCGAGCGAACAGGGAACAGCCCAGCGCCAAGUCUCGACAUGUAAAGUGUUCGAGAGAUGCGGCGUUAAUGUGUUGACGUAUCGUACGUCGCCGUGUGUUUCAAGUCCCUUUGACUGGGGUUCCAGAGUGGGUGUUAGACCCAUAGAAGCGUUCGGCAGGCGUACGCCAGUCAAUACAUUCUAGAGUCAGGUUGCUUGAGAGUGCAGCCUAAAGCAGGUGGUAAACUCCAUCUAAGGCUAAAUAUUACAGUGAGACCGAUAGCAAACAAGUACCGUGAGGGAAAGUUGCAAAGAACUUUGAAGAGAGAGUUCAAUAGGACGUGAAACCACUAACAGGAAAACAGGUGGAACCACGAAGUAUGCUUUCUGGUCGACUCAAUCAUUGCCAUUGUUUGGCUGUGUUUGUUGUAGGGUUUCAUUUGGAAGCUUGACAAACAUGGCAGAUGAUCAUUGGUAAUGGUGCAUUUCGUACCAGGAAUGCUAAAGCCACGUUCGACCAGGUGACUGGGACGGCCGUAGGAUAGGAUUCAAGAAAGGUGGCCCUCAAGUGUCCUAGACAUUUGGUGGUGUUAUUAGUCUUGGAUCGGAACCGUCGCCGAGUGUGCUGGUCGAUGCAAAUUCUCCUCUGGAGUGUUGCGUGUAGUGAUUUGGUACGUUUUUGGUUAUAAAGUAACGUCGUUGGGAUUGUUCUUUUGUUGUCCUUGGGCGUCGAAAGGCAGUYUAUCGAUUGUUGCUUKGUGGUUGAUUACGUUGCCAGAUUGUACAAACUGUGGUGCGAGUAGGUCGGUGUCCACCUGACCCGUCUUGAAACACGGACCAAGGAGCCUAACAUAUUUGCAAGUCGCUCGGUCUUGUUUAGGCCCGGGAGGCGCAAUGAAAGUAAUUGCUACGAGGUGGUAAAAAGCCGCAGUAGCAGCCCGCCGGCUUCGUUUAUUGGCGAUAUGGCGGAGUUGGAGCAAAUACGUUGGUACCCGAAAGAUGGUGAACUAUGCCUGGGCAAGACGAAGCCAGAGGAAACUCUGGUGGAGGUCUGUAGCGAUUCUGACGUGCAAAUCGAUCGCCUGACCUGGGUAUAGGGGCGAAAGACUAAUCGAACCAUCUAGUAGCUGGUUCCCUUCGAAGUUUCCCUCAGGAUAGCAGGCGCCUAAUUUGAUCAGUCUCAUCCGGUAAAGCUAAUGAUUAGAGGUCUUGGGAUCGAAACGAUCUCAACCUAUUCUCAAACUUUAAAUGGGUGAGAUGCCUGACUUGCUUGAUUGAAGCCAGGCAAUUGGAUGUGGGUGCCUAGUGGGCCAGCUUUGGUAAGCAGAACUGGCGCUGUGGGAUGAACCAAACAUCGAGUUAAGGCAUCAAAUGCAUACGCUCAUGAGACCCCAUAAAAGGUGUUGGUUGCUAUAGACAGCAGGACGGUGGCCAUGGAAGUCGGAAUCC
RNAcentral lists this ribosomal RNA (1443 nucleotides) under Heterocoptidae gen. n. sp. AD552. Its description in RNAcentral is "partial 28S ribosomal RNA". It matches the Rfam family "Eukaryotic large subunit ribosomal RNA", at positions 73 to 1269 of the family's 3401-position model. Lineage: Eukaryota; Metazoa; Arthropoda; Arachnida; Sarcoptiformes; Heterocoptidae. The record is from RNAcentral.